UAAGUAGACCGCCUGGGGAGUACGGUCGCAAGAUUAAAACUCAAAUGAAUUGACGGGGGCCCGCACAAGCGGUGGAGCAUGUGGUUUAAUUCGAUGCAACGCGAAGAACCUUACCUACUCUUGACAUCCAGAGAACUUUCCAGAGAUGGAUUGGUGCCUUCGGGAACUCUGAGACAGGUGCUGCAUGGCUGUCGUCAGCUCGUGUUGUGAAAUGUUGGGUUAAGUCCCGCAACGAGCGCAACCCUUAUCCUUGUUUGCCAGCGAGUAAUGUCGGGAACUCCAGGGAGACUGCCGGUGAUAAACCGGAGGAAGGUGGGGACGACGUCAAGUCAUCAUGGCCCUUACGAGUAGGGCUACACACGUGCUACAAUGGCGCAUACAGAGGGCGGCCAACUUGCGAAAGUGAGCGAAUCCCAAAAAGUGCGUCGUAGUCCGGAUUGGAGUCUGCAACUCGACUCCAUGAAGUCGGAAUCGCUAGUAAUCG
RNAcentral lists this ribosomal RNA (484 nucleotides) under Vibrio alginolyticus. Its description in RNAcentral is "bacterial SSU rRNA". It matches the Rfam family "Bacterial small subunit ribosomal RNA", at positions 861 to 1344 of the family's 1533-position model. Lineage: Bacteria; Pseudomonadati; Pseudomonadota; Gammaproteobacteria; Vibrionales; Vibrionaceae. The record is from RNAcentral.